This is a small nuclear RNA of Oryzias sinensis (Chinese medaka), 149 nucleotides long. Its record names the gene U1. It matches the Rfam family "U1 spliceosomal RNA". From Rfam's summary of the family: U1 is a small nuclear RNA (snRNA) component of the spliceosome (involved in pre-mRNA splicing). Its 5' end forms complementary base pairs with the 5' splice junction, thus defining the 5' donor site of an intron. There are significant differences in sequence and secondary structure between metazoan and yeast U1 snRNAs, the latter being much longer (568 nucleotides as compared to 164 nucleotides in human). The record is from Ensembl. NCBI's taxonomy places the organism in Eukaryota, Metazoa, Chordata, Actinopteri, Beloniformes, Adrianichthyidae.
AGACUUACCUGGAUGGAUGAUACCAUGAUCAAGGAUGUGAGGCUCUGUCAUUGCACUCUGACUGUUCUGAACCUUGAAAAUUCCCCAAAUGUGUGAAUCUCAACUGCACAAUUUGUGGUAGUGGGUGACUCCGUUUGUGCUCUCCCGUG